GACGAACGCUGGCGGCGUGCCUAAUACAUGCAAGUCGAGCGAACAGACGAGGAGCUUGCUCCGCUGACGUUAGCGGCGGACGGGUGAGUAACACGUGGAUAACCCACCUAUAAGACUGGGAUAACUUCGGGAAACCGGAGCUAAUACCGGAUAAUAUACUGCACCGCAGGGGUCAAUAGUGAGAGACGGCUUUGCUGGCACGAAUCGAUGGAUCCGCGCCGCAUUAGCUGGUUGGUACGGUAACGGCUUACCAAGGCGACCAUGCGUAGCCGACGUGAGGGAGGGGUCGCCCACCCUGGAGCUUAGCCACGGUCCAUGCUCCUACGGUACGCAGCAGUAUGGAACCGUCCGCAGUGGGCGAAAGCCUUACGGAGCAGGGCCGCGUGUGUGGUGGAGGUCUUCGGUGCGUAAAACCCUGUUAUUAGGGAAGAACCAAUGUGUACGGUGCUAUGCACUGCGUGACGGUACCGGGUCAGAAAGCCCCGGCUAACUACGUG
RNAcentral lists this ribosomal RNA (497 nucleotides) under uncultured bacterium. RNAcentral describes it as "partial 16S ribosomal RNA". It matches the Rfam family "Bacterial small subunit ribosomal RNA", at positions 28 to 507 of the family's 1533-position model. The record is from RNAcentral.